CGAUAAGCUAUGAUCGGGAAGAGUAGACCUAGCACUACCUAUCAGAGAGGGAAAUCCAUCGGCUGAGAGAUUUCCUAAGGAACCUAGAUCGAACGUCGCCCGAAAGCUGUCUUCCUGAACAGAUGGUAGUUUGUAUAGCCAUAGUAAGGUAGACCGGAAGCCAAUCCGUUAACAGGCCCUAAGUGCAUGAGCUGGAUACGAAUGUUUGCUGAUGAAUAAAGGUGGUACCGCGAAAACAACUCUUUCGUCCUUUGA
Molecule: non-coding RNA, 255 nt
Filed under: Thermoactinomyces sp.
Lineage: Bacteria; Bacillati; Bacillota; Bacilli; Caryophanales; Thermoactinomycetaceae
Description: T-box sequence
Rfam family: T-box leader
About the family: Uncharged tRNA acts as the effector for transcription antitermination of genes in the T-box leader family. T-boxes are found upstream of many aminoacyl-tRNA synthetase genes and some amino acid biosynthetic genes usually in Gram-positive bacteria. The anticodon of a specific tRNA base pairs to a specifier sequence within the T-box motif, and the NCCA acceptor tail of the tRNA base pairs to a conserved bulge in the T-box antiterminator hairpin.
Source: RNAcentral